CAGCCCAGGAGACAGGAUAUGUACAUCGACGAAGUAGUUGUUGCAGGAGUCCUGAUUGUUGGACUUUGCGUCGUGUUCUGCGCCGGAUUUGGAUAUUUCAUCUGGAAAGAUGCCAAGAAAACCAAAGCGAACUGAUCUUUCCAGUUUCAAGAGCACGCAAGGCAUUUAGGGCGACUUCGGUCGCCCCUUUUUUU
RNAcentral lists this small RNA (194 nucleotides) under uncultured Pseudomonas sp. RNAcentral describes it as "PhrS". It matches the Rfam family "PhrS". Lineage: Bacteria; Pseudomonadati; Pseudomonadota; Gammaproteobacteria; Pseudomonadales; Pseudomonadaceae. The record is from RNAcentral.